CAGCACCUCAAGUGGUCAGGAUGAUUAUUGGGCCUAAAGCAUCCGUAGCCGGCUCUGUAAGUUUUCGGUUAAAUCUGUAUGCUCAACAUACAGGCUGCCGGGAAUACUGCGGAGCUAGGGAGUGGGAGAGGUAGACGGUACUCGGUAGGAAGGGGUAAAAUCCUUUGAUCUAUUGAUGACCACCUGUGGCGAAGGCGGUCUACCAGAACACGUCCGACGGUGAGGGAUGAAAGCUGGGGGAGCAAACCGGAUUAGAUACCCGAGUAGUCC
This 270-nucleotide ribosomal RNA is filed under the name uncultured archaeon. Its description in RNAcentral is "partial 16S ribosomal RNA". It matches the Rfam family "Archaeal small subunit ribosomal RNA", at positions 477 to 747 of the family's 1478-position model. The record is from RNAcentral.